GAUGAACGCUGGCGGCGUGCCUAAUACAUGCAAGUCGAACGAGUUCUCGUUGAUGAUCGGUGCUUGCACCGAGAUUCAACAUGGAACGAGUGGCGGACGGGUGAGUAACACGUGGGUAACCUGCCCCUAAGUGGGGGAUAGCAUUUGGAAACAGAUGCUAAUACCGCAUAGAUCCAAGAACCGCAUGGUUCUUGGCUGAAAGAUGGCGUAAGCUAUCGCUUUUGGAUGGACCCGCGGCGUAUUAGCUAGUUGGUGAGGUAAUGGCUCACCAAGGCGAUGAUACGUAGCCGAACUGAGAGGUUGAUCGGCCACAUUGGGACUGAGACACGGCCCAAACUCCUACGGGAGGCAGCAGUAGGGAAUCUUCCACAAUGGACGCAAGUCUGAUGGAGCAACGCCGCGUGAGUGAAGAAGGCUUUCGGGUCGUAAAACUCUGUUGUUGGAGAAGAAUGGUCGGCAGAGUAACUGUUGUCGGCGUGACGGUAUCCAACCAGAAAGCCACGGCUAACUACGUGCCAGCAGCCGCGGUAAUACGUAGGUGGCAAGCGUUAUCCGGAUUUAUUGGGCGUAAAGCGAGCGCAGGCGGUUUUUUAAGUCUGACGUGAAAGCCCUCGGCCUAACCGAGGAAGCGCAUCGGAAACUGGGAAACUUGAGUGCAGAAGAGGACAGUGGAACUCCAUGUGUAGCGGUGAAAUGCGUAGAUAUAUGGAAGAACACCAGUGGCGAAGGCGGCUGUCUGGUCUGUAACUGACGCUGAGGCUCGAAAGCAUGGGUAGCGAACAGGAUUAGAUACCCUGGUAGUCCAUGCCGUAAACGAUGAAUGCUAGGUGUUGGAGGGUUUCCGCCCUUCAGUGCCGCAGCUAACGCAUUAAGCAUUCCGCCUGGGGAGUACGACCGCAAGGUUGAAGCUCAAAGGAAUUGACGGGGGCCCGCACAAGCGGUGGAGCAUGUGGUUUAAUUCGAAGCAACGCGAAGAACCUUACCAGGUCUUGACAUCUUUUGAUCACCUGAGAGAUCAGGUUUCCCCUUCGGGGGCAAAAUGACAGGUGGUGCAUGGUUGUCGUCAGCUCGUGUCGUGAGAUGUUGGGUUAAGUCCCGCAACGAGCGCAACCCUUAUGACUAGUUGCCAGCAUUUAGUUGGGCACUCUAGUAAGACUGCCGGUGACAAACCGGAGGAAGGUGGGGAUGACGUCAAAUCAUCAUGCCCCUUAUGACCUGGGCUACACACGUGCUACAAUGGAUGGUACAACGAGUUGCGAGACCGCGAGGUCAAGCUAAUCUCUUAAAGCCAUUCUCAGUUCGGACUGUAGGCUGCAACUCGCCUACACGAAGUCGGAAUCGCUAGUAAUCGCGGAUCAGCACGCCGCGGUGAAUACGUUCCCGGGCCUUGUACACACCGCCCGUCACACCAUGAGAGUUUGUAACACCCGAAGCCGGUGGCGUAACCCUUUUAGGGAGCGAGCCGUCUAAGGUGGGACAAAUGAUUAGGGUG
RNAcentral lists this ribosomal RNA (1492 nucleotides) under Lacticaseibacillus paracasei. RNAcentral describes it as "bacterial SSU rRNA". It matches the Rfam family "Bacterial small subunit ribosomal RNA". The record is from RNAcentral. Lineage: Bacteria; Bacillati; Bacillota; Bacilli; Lactobacillales; Lactobacillaceae.